CCUACGGGUGGCAGCAGUGGGGAAUAUUGGACAAUGGGGGGAACCCUGAUCCAGCCAUGCCGCGUGUGUGAAGAAGGCCCUCGGGUUGUAAAGCACUUUCAGUGAGGAAGAACGCCUGGUGGUUAAUACCCAUCAGGAAAGACAUCACUCACAGAAGAAGCACCGGCUAACUCCGUGCCAGCAGCCGCGGUAAUACGGAGGGUGCGAGCGUUAAUCGGAAUUACUGGGCGUAAAGCGCGCGUAGGUGGCUUGAUAAGCCGGUUGUGAAAGCCCCGGGCUCAACCUGGGAACGGCAUCCGGAACUGUCAAGCUAGAGUGCAGGAGAGGAAGGUAGAAUUCCCGGUGUAGCGGUGAAAUGCGUAGAGAUCGGGAGGAAUACCAGUGGCGAAGGCGGCCUUCUGGACUGAAACUGACACUGAGGUGCGAAAGCGUGGGUAGCAAACAGGAUUAGAUACCCCAGUAGUC
Molecule: ribosomal RNA, 465 nt
Filed under: Vreelandella stevensii
Lineage: Bacteria; Pseudomonadati; Pseudomonadota; Gammaproteobacteria; Oceanospirillales; Halomonadaceae
Description: partial 16S ribosomal RNA
Rfam family: Bacterial small subunit ribosomal RNA
Source: RNAcentral